UACGUAGGUGGCAAGCGUUGUCCGGAUUUAUUGGGCGUAAAGCGAGCGCAGGUGGUUCCUUAAGUCUGAUGUGAAAGCCCACGGCUCAACCGUGGAAGGUCAUUGGAAACUGGGGAACUUGAGUGCAGAAGAGGAGAGUGGAAUUCCAUGUGUAGCGGUGAAAUGCGUAGAUAUAUGGAGGAACACCUGUGGCGAAGGCGACUCUCUGGUCUGUAACUGACGCUGAGGCUCGAAAGCGUGGGGAGCAAACAGGAUUAGA
RNAcentral lists this ribosomal RNA (259 nucleotides) under uncultured prokaryote. RNAcentral's name for it is "partial 16S ribosomal RNA". It matches the Rfam family "Bacterial small subunit ribosomal RNA", at positions 524 to 782 of the family's 1533-position model. The record is from RNAcentral.